Molecule: ribosomal RNA, 255 nt
Filed under: uncultured Isochrysis
Lineage: Eukaryota; Haptophyta; Isochrysidales
Description: partial Bacterial large subunit ribosomal RNA
Rfam family: Bacterial large subunit ribosomal RNA
Source: RNAcentral
GGGGAGCGUUCUGUAAGCCUGCGAAGGUGUGCUGUGAGGCAUGCUGGAGGUAUCAGAAGUGCGAAUGCUGACAUAAGUAACGAUAAAGCGGGUGAAAAGCCCGCUCGCCGGAAGACCAAGGGUUCCUGUCCAACGUUAAUCGGGGCAGGGUGAGUCGACCCCUAAGGCGAGGCCGAAAGGCGUAGUCGAUGGGAAACAGGUUAAUAUUCCUGUACUUCUGGUUAUUGCGAUGGAGGGACGGAGAAGGCUAGGCCA